GGAUCACCAGUACGAGGAGAAUGAAGCAAAGAGGAAGGAGGACCUCAAAAUGUUCCUUGAGCAGCGUGCUUAUGAGAAAAAGAUGAAGGAGCAUCACAAGAAAGGUGAUGGAGCAACAUCACAAAUAAUGGGCAGCUAAAUUUAAGAUUGCUAUAUGGCAGAGGGUGCAAAAAAGAGAGAGCGGGAGAAUGAACUCUUCAUGGAGAGGGUGGUGGAAGAGGUUUCAAAAAUGCGCAAAAGGGAAGACGAAGAGGAAGAAGAGAGGAAGAAGAAAAAGGGGAAGGGGGCUUGCUCGACACAAUAGAGCCGGAGGCUUCUAUUCUCAUGCACGCUUUUAUGUUUGAACCCUAUGUGUUGAACCUUGUUCGUUUGCGCGCGAUCUGACUAUGAAAUCCACUAUUAUGUACUUUAAGAACCUAUUAUGCAUCUUUGGACGUAUGUGUGAACUUUAAUGGGAACACUUUGUGAUGUUUGUACUUUA
This 481-nucleotide long non-coding RNA is filed under the name Hordeum vulgare. RNAcentral describes it as "long non-coding RNA (HVUL_LNC008787)". The record is from RNAcentral. Lineage: Eukaryota; Viridiplantae; Streptophyta; Magnoliopsida; Poales; Poaceae.